GCCCGCAUGGCUCAGUGGUAGAGCGCAUCACUAGUAUCACUAGUAUCACUAGUAUCACUAGUAUCACUAGUAUCACUAGUAUCACUAGUAAUGAUGAGGUCGUCAGUUCGAUUCUGGCUGUGGGCA
This is a non-coding RNA of Apiosordaria backusii, 126 nucleotides long. The record is from the annotation of a GenBank genome assembly. NCBI's taxonomy places the organism in Eukaryota, Fungi, Ascomycota, Sordariomycetes, Sordariales, Lasiosphaeriaceae.